Homo sapiens (human) is the source of this 613-nucleotide long non-coding RNA. Ensembl annotates it as SRP14 divergent transcript. Its record names the gene SRP14-DT. The record is from Ensembl. Lineage: Eukaryota; Metazoa; Chordata; Mammalia; Primates; Hominidae.
CCUCCCCCCUCCCCGCCCGCCUAGCGCCCGCGCCCUGGGACGUCCGGGGGCCUGUGACCCGGAGGCGCUGGGGCUGUCCUGGGUCGUCACAUGCGAGAAAUCGUCUCACCCCAGCCAGUGUGACGGAGUGAGAGCAAAAGAAAGUUUUGAUAGCAGCGUACGAUUUAUAUUCAGCUGUAUGCUGGGCAGGUCCAACUUGGCAUUUCUUGGCUGUAUCUCUGAAGGAAAGUCAUCUUAAUCUCUAUGAGCCUCCAUUUCCUCAGCUGUAAAAUGGGAAGAUCUUCCUCACACUGCUGUGACAUUUAGUGAGUGCCUGCUGUGUGUCAUCCAUUGUGACAGUGUUGGGAACACGGAGAUGAAUAAAACAAGGCCCCUGUCCUGGGAGAGCCGAGAGGCCACCUGUCAGCUGACAUCUUAGGGAGGACACCAUCUACAUCCAACCCUGACUACUGAACACUUCCAGUUUCUUGGAAGAAAGAUUUUAAAAUCUUCAGAAAUGAGAACUCCUCCAAAUAGGAUUUUCAUUUGUUUCAUAUAUUUUAAAAUUUUAUAUUUUAAUAUGUAACAGUCAUAUGGUUUAAAUAUAAAAAUGACAUCAGUGGCUCAGUAAGAA